CCUACGGGAGGCAGCAGUGGGGAAUAUUGCACAAUGGGGGAAACCCUGAUGCAGCGACGCCGCGUGAGUGAGGAAGUAUUUCGGUAUGUAAAGCUCUAUCAGUAGGGAAGAAAAUGACGGUACCUGACUAAGAAGCUCCGGCUAACUACGUGCCAGCAGCCGCGGUAAUACGUAGGGGGCAAGCGUUAUCCGGAUUUACUGGGUGUAAAGGGAGCGUAGACGGAAUAGCAAGUCUGAUGUGAAAGCCCGGGGCUCAACUCCGGGAGUGCAUUGGAAACUGUUAAUCUAGAGUUUCGGAGAGGCAAGCGGAAUUCGUGGUGUAGCGGUGAAAUGCGUAGAUAUUAGGAGGAACACCAGUGGCGAAGGCGGCUUGCUGAACGAUGACUGACGUUGAGGCUCGAAAGCGUGGGGAGCAAACAGGAUUAGAUACCCCAGUAGUC
Molecule: ribosomal RNA, 440 nt
Filed under: uncultured bacterium
Lineage: Bacteria
Description: partial 16S ribosomal RNA
Rfam family: Bacterial small subunit ribosomal RNA
Source: RNAcentral